This 497-nucleotide ribosomal RNA is filed under the name uncultured bacterium. Its description in RNAcentral is "partial 16S ribosomal RNA". It matches the Rfam family "Bacterial small subunit ribosomal RNA", at positions 28 to 507 of the family's 1533-position model. The record is from RNAcentral.
GAUGAACGCUGGCGGCGUGCCUAAUACAUGCAAGUCGAGCGAACGGACGAGGAGCUUGCUCCUCUGACGUUAGCGGCGGACGGGUGAGUAACACGUGGAUAACCUACCUAUAAGACUGGGAUAACUUCGGGAAACCGGAGCUAAUACCGGAUAAUAUAUUGAACCGCAUGGUUCAAUAGUGAAAGACGGUUUUGCUGUCACUUAUAGAUGGAUCCGCGCCGCAUUAGCUAGUUGGUAAGGUAACGGCUUACCAAGGCAACGAUGCGUAGCCGACCUGAGAGGGUGAUCGGCCACACUGGAACUGAGACACGGUCCAGACUCCUACGGUAGGCAGCAGUAGGGAAUCUUCCGCAAUGGGCGAAAGCUUGACGGAGCAACGCCGCGUGAGUGAUGAAGGUCUUCGGAUCGUAAAACUCUGUUAUUAGGGAAGAACAAAUGUGUAAGUAACUAUGCACGUCUUGACGGUACCUAAUCAGAAAGCCACGGCUAACUACGUG